This 256-nucleotide small RNA is filed under the name Mus musculus (house mouse). RNAcentral describes it as "predicted gene, 55425 (ENSMUSG00002075175.1)". Lineage: Eukaryota; Metazoa; Chordata; Mammalia; Rodentia; Muridae. The record is from RNAcentral.
GCCGGGCGUGGUGGCGCACAUCUUUAAUCCCAGCACUUGGGAGGCAGAGGCAGGUGGAUUUCUGAGUUCGAGGCCAGCCUGGUCUACAAAGUGAGUUCCAGGACAGCCAGGGCUAUACAGAGAAACAGAGAAACCCUGUCUCAAAAAAAACCAAAAAAAAAAAAAAGACAGGAUCUUACUUUGUAGCCUUGUCUGGUCUAGAACUCAGUAUGUAGACCAGGCUGGCCCCCGAACUCACAGAGAUCUGCUUGCUUCU